RNAcentral lists this ribosomal RNA (392 nucleotides) under uncultured bacterium. RNAcentral describes it as "partial 16S ribosomal RNA". It matches the Rfam family "Bacterial small subunit ribosomal RNA", at positions 523 to 918 of the family's 1533-position model. The record is from RNAcentral.
AUACGGAGGAUGCAAGCGUUAUCCGGAUUUAUUGGGUUUAAAGGGUGCGCAGGCGGCCAUUUAAGUCAGCGGUUAAAUCGUGGGGCUCAACCCCAUUCUGCCGUUGAUACUGGGUGGCUUGAUUGCGGUAGAGGUUGGCGGAAUUCGUUGUGUAGCGGUGAAAUGCAUGGAUAUGACGAAGAACACCGAUUGCGUAGGCAGCUGACCAGACCGCAAAUGACGCUCAUGCACGAAAGUGCGGGGAUCGAACAGGAUUAGAUACCCUGGUAGUCCGCACAGUAAACGAUGAAUACUUGUUUUCGGCGAUAUAAUGUCGGAGGCAAAGCAAAAGCGAUAAGUAUUCCACCUGGGGAGUACGCCGGCAACGGUGAAACUCAAAUGAAUUGGCGGGG